RNAcentral lists this ribosomal RNA (468 nucleotides) under uncultured bacterium. RNAcentral describes it as "partial 16S ribosomal RNA". It matches the Rfam family "Bacterial small subunit ribosomal RNA", at positions 28 to 507 of the family's 1533-position model. The record is from RNAcentral.
GACGAACGCUGGCGGCGUGCUUAACACAUGCAAGUCGAACGGAAAGGCCCUGCGUUUGUGGGGUGCUCGUGUGGCGAGCGGGGGAGUAACACGUGAGUAACCUGCACUUGACUUUGGGAUAACUUCAGGAAACUGGGGCGAAUACCGGAUAGGAGAUACUGCAGCAUGGUGGGGGUUGGAGAGAUUCGGCGGUUGGGGAUGGUCUGGCGGCUUAUCAGCUUGUUUGGGGGGUAGUGGCUUCCAAAGGUUUUGACGGGUAGCCCGCCUGAGAGGUUGGCCGGCCACCUUGCGCCUGCGGGACGCCCCAGUAUCGAACCUGCCGCAGCGGGGGGGAACAUUACACAGUGGGCGGAAGCCAGAUGCAACAACGCCCCGUGCGGGAUGCCGGCCUUCGGGUUGUAAACAACUUUCGACUGAACCGUAGCCGGAGUGACGGUACCGGGUAAAGAAGCCCCGGCUAACUACGUG